AACAGUAUGUGUAUUUCAGUUUAAUUUUUAGGUAAACGAGAUAUAGAAAUUGCCAAACGAGAUAAAGAAAUAAGUAAGUGUCAUUAUCCUUCCUCUGAUAAGAAACUUUUUGUACCAAUUUGGAUCCUCAUGUGGGAGUUUGUUUAAUUGUGGUGGAGGUGUUUGUUUUCAAAUGUAACUUUUUAAAUUGAUGCAAUAUGAAA
Molecule: long non-coding RNA, 203 nt
Organism: Chelonia mydas (Green sea turtle)
Lineage: Eukaryota; Metazoa; Chordata; Testudines; Cheloniidae
Exons: 2
Source: RefSeq, a predicted model, not a curated record